GGCCCAUGGCUCAAUGGUAGAGCGUUCGACUCAAAUACCAAAGGUCGCGGGUUCGAAUCCCUUGUGUGCCA
RNAcentral lists this transfer RNA (71 nucleotides) under Schistocephalus solidus. It matches the Rfam family "tRNA". From Rfam's summary of the family: Transfer RNA (tRNA) molecules are approximately 80 nucleotides in length. The record is from Rfam by way of RNAcentral. Lineage: Eukaryota; Metazoa; Platyhelminthes; Cestoda; Diphyllobothriidea; Diphyllobothriidae.